This 527-nucleotide ribosomal RNA is filed under the name Fusarium incarnatum. RNAcentral describes it as "eukaryotic LSU rRNA". The stretch from base 170 to 323 matches the Rfam family "5.8S ribosomal RNA". The record is from RNAcentral. Lineage: Eukaryota; Fungi; Ascomycota; Sordariomycetes; Hypocreales; Nectriaceae.
AACCUGCGGAGGGAUCAUUACCGAGUUUACAACUCCCAAACCCCUGUGAACAUACCUAUACGUUGCCUCGGCGGAUCAGCCCGCGCCCCGUAAAACGGGACGGCCCGCCCGAGGACCCCUAAACUCUGUUUUUAGUGGAACUUCUGAGUAAAACAAACAAAUAAAUCAAAACUUUCAACAACGGAUCUCUUGGUUCUGGCAUCGAUGAAGAACGCAGCAAAAUGCGAUAAGUAAUGUGAAUUGCAGAAUUCAGUGAAUCAUCGAAUCUUUGAACGCACAUUGCGCCCGCCAGUAUUCUGGCGGGCAUGCCUGUUCGAGCGUCAUUUCAACCCUCAAGCUCAGCUUGGUGUUGGGACUCGCGGUAACCCGCGUUCCCCAAAUCGAUUGGCGGUCACGUCGAGCUUCCAUAGCGUAGUAAUCAUACACCUCGUUACUGGUAAUCGUCGCGGCCACGCCGUAAAACCCCAACUUCUGAAUGUUGACCUCGGAUCAGGUAGGAAUACCCGCUGAACUUAAGCAUAUCAAUA